Transfer RNA from Ovis aries (sheep), 72 nucleotides. It matches the Rfam family "tRNA". Rfam says of the family: Transfer RNA (tRNA) molecules are approximately 80 nucleotides in length. NCBI's taxonomy places the organism in Eukaryota, Metazoa, Chordata, Mammalia, Artiodactyla, Bovidae. The record is from Rfam.
UCCUUGGUGGCUCAAUGGUAAAGAAUCUGACUGCCAAUGCAGGAGAUGCAGGUUUGAUUCCUGUUCAGGUAA